This 87-nucleotide transfer RNA is filed under the name Psychrosphaera aestuarii. Its description in RNAcentral is "tRNA-Leu". It matches the Rfam family "tRNA". Rfam says of the family: Transfer RNA (tRNA) molecules are approximately 80 nucleotides in length. Their secondary structure includes four short double-helical elements and three loops (D, anti-codon, and T loops). Lineage: Bacteria; Pseudomonadati; Pseudomonadota; Gammaproteobacteria; Alteromonadales; Pseudoalteromonadaceae. The record is from RNAcentral. RNAcentral also lists the same sequence under 5 other names.
GCGGUUGUGCUGAAAUUGGUAGACAGGCAGCGUUGAGGUCGCUGUGUUCGAAAGGACGUGAGGGUUCAAGUCCCUCCAACCGCACCA